This 484-nucleotide ribosomal RNA is filed under the name uncultured bacterium. RNAcentral's name for it is "partial 16S ribosomal RNA". It matches the Rfam family "Bacterial small subunit ribosomal RNA", at positions 30 to 507 of the family's 1533-position model. The record is from RNAcentral.
AUUGAACGCUGGCGGCAGGCCUAACACAUGCAAGUCGAGCGGUUGAAGGGUGCUUGCUCCUGGAUUCAGCGUCGGACUGGUGUGUAAUUCCUAUGAAUCUGCCUGUUAUUGGUUGAUAACGUCCGUAAACGGGCGCUUAUACCGCAUACGUCCUGAUGUUGUACGUGUGGGUUCUUCUGUCCUCUCGCUUUCUUAUGUGCCUAGGUCGGUUUAGCUAGUUGGUUGGGUAAAGUCCUACCAAGGCUACGAUCCGUAACUGAUCUGAGAGGAUGAUCAGUCACACUGGAACUGAGACACGGAACAGAGAACUACGGGAGGCAGCAGUGGGGAAUAUUGGACAAUGGGCGAAAGCAUGAACCAGCAAAGCCGAGUGUGAGAAGAAGGACUUCGGAUUGUAAAGAACGUUAAGUAGGGAGGAAGGGAAGUAAGAUAAUAAAUUGAUGGUAUGACGGUAACAAAAGAAUAAGCACCGGCUAACUACGUG